AAGGUGAAAAAAUCAGCAGCAGAAUGAGUCUCCCAUCACCUUGCUGGGAGAAGCUUUUUUUCAGUGACUUCUCGGAGUGACGCUGAGCCAAGGAAGGACUGAUCAGAUGGUGGGAUCGAUCAGACCAUGAGAGAGGGCAGAGCCACACAGAGUAGAUGGGGUUCAGUCCACAUUUCUGGGCAGAGUGAGACACCGCAGCCGAGGUGAUGGAGCAGACCCACUCAAUCCGAAAUUCCUCACUUUUGGAAAUAUACAAACACUCAGUUUGACCAAUGGAGCUUUGUUCUGCAAAUGUGUGUCAGGUGAGAAUAAUUUAAAAAGAAAACGUGAUGUUACUGACUGCUGAAGGUUUAAUGCUUGACUAAAGUUCGCUUAGCUUUUUAGCCUUUAGCAGUAGAAUCAGUCAAUCAAGCUGAGUGAGCGUUUUAAUUUGUAAAUGAUUCAAUCUGUUUUUAUUUUUACCAAAUAAAGGUACAGUUUUUUAAAUUGUUGCUUCUAUCACUACACAAAACCUCAACUUUAAAUAACUUA
Thalassophryne amazonica is the source of this 531-nucleotide long non-coding RNA. RefSeq lists it as uncharacterized. The record is from RefSeq and is a predicted model, not a curated record. The transcript has 3 exons. Lineage: Eukaryota; Metazoa; Chordata; Actinopteri; Batrachoidiformes; Batrachoididae.